RNAcentral lists this ribosomal RNA (253 nucleotides) under uncultured bacterium. RNAcentral describes it as "partial 16S ribosomal RNA". It matches the Rfam family "Bacterial small subunit ribosomal RNA", at positions 524 to 776 of the family's 1533-position model. The record is from RNAcentral.
UACGUAGGGUGCGAGCGUUGUCCGGAAUUAUUGGGCGUAAAGGGCUCGUCGGCGGUUUGUCGCGUCGGGAGUGAAAUCCACUGGCUUAACUGGUGGCUUGCUUUCGAUACGGGCAGACUGGGGGUAUGCAGGGGAGAACGGAAUUCCUGGUGUAGCGGUGAAAUGCGCAGAUAUCAGGAGGAACACCGGUGGCGAAGGCGGUGCUCUGGGCAUGUCCUGACGCUGAGGAGCGAAAGUGUGGGGAGCGAACAGG